Molecule: RNA transcript, 2126 nt
Organism: Megalobrama amblycephala (Wuchang bream)
Lineage: Eukaryota; Metazoa; Chordata; Actinopteri; Cypriniformes; Xenocyprididae
Gene: cdv3
Gene name: carnitine deficiency-associated gene expressed in ventricle 3
Exons: 6
Source: RefSeq, a predicted model, not a curated record
AUCGGAAGCAACACUAUCCGGUGCAUUGGGCGAGUGUGUGUCACACUUUCAGCUGGUGAGUGUUAUGUUGCUCUAAGCACACAGUUAACCUGCGGAUACACAUGAAACAUACGGAUUAUCGGACAGACACGCACGCAAGGGCUCGUUUGCUGUCGUUUCAGACGCUGAUCUGAUUAUUUCUGAGCUUUUUUAGUGUUUAGUAAAGGAAAUUUGGGGAUAAGAUGGCGGAUGUGGCUCCAGCCGGCGUGGAGAAGAGUCUGGAUGACUUCUUCGCUAAGCGCGACAAGAAGAAAAAGAAGGAGAAGGGCAAGGGAAAGGAGCAGGCGACCGGAGGACCUGUAUUGUUGGUGAAAAAGACGAAAAAGGAGAAGGAGAAGUCGACGAAGAGUGAGAAUCAGGACGCGCAGAUGGAGAAGGAGGAUGAGGAAUGGAAGGACUUUGAGCAGAAGGAGGUGGACUACACUGGACUCAGACUCCAGGCAAUGCAGAUGAGUGAUGAGAAGGAGGAUGAAGAGUAUGAGAAGGAGGAAGUGGGCGAGGAUGGUGAGAUCAUCCUGGUCAGUGGUGAUAAAGUCUCUGGACCCUGGAAUAAAUCAGGCGCCCCCCCUUCAGCUGCUCCGGUAGAGGAAGUUGAGGUUCCUGAGCCCAAAGCACCUGGCGUGUAUCGUCCCCCAGGGGCCCGGUUAACCUCUACUAAAAGAGGCCCAACUCAAGGGCCUCCAGAGAUCUUCAGCGAUGCCCAGUUCCCUUCUCUCCUCUCCACCGCCAGACACGUGGAGACUCGCAAGGACAGAGAGAUGGAGAAGACUUUUGAGGUGGUCAAGCACAAGAGCCGUGUCAAAGAAGGGGAAGGCCCGGGGUCCAUGCAGCAUUUACAGUUAGAUAAUCAGUACGCCAUCCUGGGGGACAAAUAAAAGCCGUCUCCGUCUCCCCCCAAGCCUACCGCCAAUGGUACUGUAAGACUCGCAGGGGGAACAUGACCUGCAGCUGUCUGAUGCAGUCCUGACCGAGCUGGAGACGCCUGUGCCCAUACACACACACACACACACACACACGCACACACACACGCACACACAAUGACAUGCAAACACACACAUCCCAAAAAUCCUUGUCAAGCAACAUCCACAAAUGAACGCAUUUUGACACAUUUAGCCAUUGAAAUCCUCUCUCUCACACACACAAAGCUGAUAAAGUCCCUCCCUUUUCAACUGCAUUCAGACGGGCUGCAGCAACAGGAACUGACUGAAAUUUCAAAUUCUGCUUUAUAUGACACCAAGUUCACCAAGACGAAUGAUACUGCAUCAAACGAACAAGGCACCAAAUGUUUAUUUCGGUGGAUUUCCUCAUGGGGUUGGUUGGCCGGCAGAGCCACUGGACAUCGGCCAACCCUGAGAAAAUGAGAAAAGCCACUUUGAGGAUGGAGUUCAAAACAUUGCGUGAGAAUUAAAAAAAAAAAAAAAAAAAAAAAAAAAAAAACUGCUGAGGGUUUUUUGUUUUUCGCUACAUCAGUAUAGCUCCCAAACCUCUGGAUUUUUUUUUCUUGCAUUGUGAAGACAAAGCUGGGAGUUUUCGGUUUGGGCACUAGAGAGGGGAGACUACCUCAGUUACAUAUCUGUGGUUACCAUGUCGACCAGGUCCUGGGCUCAGAUUGGCUGCAGUCCAGCCAAAGAGGAGCGAUUCAACGUUUCAACCUUAAACUUGAAAAUGAUAUUUUUUCCCUCCCCUUUUUUGCGAGAUCUGUUGACAGAGGCGUCAAGUCUUCAAAUUUAUUUUUUAAAGUGGCCUUACUGUGGAAAAAAAAAAAAAAAAAAGAAAGUUAUGGGGGAGAAAUAUCUAUAUAAAUAUAUUUAGAGAAUGUGUUCAAAACAAAUUAAUUCUGGAAGGCACUUCCUGGUCGUGUUGCAGUUAAAUGCCUGCUUGAUUUGAUUCUUACCACUCUGAGGAAAAAAAUGCCACCGUAACCCUCUGUGAGAAUGUAGUUCUGCGCUAGUUUGUCGACAUAUUGCGAAUAAUGGAUGUUCUCUAACAAUGUCCCUUAAACCUUUCCAUCUCUGUUCCUCUCCUCAUUUUAUUUGAUUCCAUGAUGAUUGACAAACCAUUAUUAAAGCUUAACCUUUCUAAUCUCA